CCAGACUCCUACGGGAGGCAGCAGUGAGGAAUAUUGGUCAAUGGGCGCGAGCCUGAACCAGCCAAGUAGCGUGAAGGAUGACUGCCCUACGGGUUGUAAACUUCUUUUAUAAAGGAAUAAAGUGAGGCACGUGUGCCUUUUUGUAUGUACUUUAUGAAUAAGGAUCGGCUAACUCCGUGCCAGCAGCCGCGGUAAUACGGAGGAUGCGAGCGUUAUCCGGAUUUAUUGGGUUUAAAGGGUGCGUAGGCGGGCUGUUAAGUCAGGGGUCAAAUGUCGGGGCUCAACCCCGGCCUGCCGUUGAAACUGGCGGCCUCGAGUGGGCGAGAAGUAUGCGGAAUGCGUGGUGUAGCGGUGAAAUGCUUAGAGAUCAUACAGAACACCGAUUGCGAAGGCAGCUUACCAAGCUACUUCUGACGUUGAGGCACGAAAGCGUGGGGAGCAAACAGGAUUAGAUACCCCUGUAU
RNAcentral lists this ribosomal RNA (464 nucleotides) under uncultured bacterium. Its description in RNAcentral is "bacterial SSU rRNA". It matches the Rfam family "Bacterial small subunit ribosomal RNA", at positions 331 to 793 of the family's 1533-position model. The record is from RNAcentral.